This 107-nucleotide ribosomal RNA is filed under the name Citrobacter freundii. RNAcentral's name for it is "partial 23S ribosomal RNA". It matches the Rfam family "Bacterial large subunit ribosomal RNA", at positions 2819 to 2925 of the family's 2925-position model. The record is from RNAcentral. Lineage: Bacteria; Pseudomonadati; Pseudomonadota; Gammaproteobacteria; Enterobacterales; Enterobacteriaceae.
UAAGUCUCCUGAAGGAACGUCGAAGACGACGACGUUGAUAGGUCGGGUGUGUAAGCGUAGCGAUACGUUGAGCUAACCGAUACUAAUGAACCGUGAGGCUUAACCUU